This 305-nucleotide signal recognition particle RNA is filed under the name Prolemur simus (greater bamboo lemur). Its description in RNAcentral is "Metazoan signal recognition particle RNA (ENSPSMG00000021717.1)". It matches the Rfam family "Metazoan signal recognition particle RNA". From Rfam's summary of the family: The signal recognition particle (SRP) is a universally conserved ribonucleoprotein. It is involved in the co-translational targeting of proteins to membranes. The record is from RNAcentral. Lineage: Eukaryota; Metazoa; Chordata; Mammalia; Primates; Lemuridae.
GCCCCUACAGGUACAAGUACAUGCCUGUAGUCCUGGCUAUUCAGGAGGCUUAGGCAGGAUAAUUGCUUGAGCCUAGGAGUUCUGGGUUGGCUAUAGUUUGUUACGCAAUCAGGUAUCCACACGAAGUUUGGCAUUGAUACAGUGACCUCCCAGGAGCAGGCCACCACCAGGUUGCCCAAGGAGGGGCAAAUCAGCCCAGGCCAGAAAUGGAGCAGCUCAAAACUCUCAUGCUGAUCAGUAGUGGGAUGGCAACUGUGAAUAGCCACUGCACUCCAGCCUGGGCAACAUUGCAAGAAACCAUCUCU